RNAcentral lists this long non-coding RNA (10045 nucleotides) under Capsella rubella. RNAcentral describes it as "long non-coding RNA (CRUB_LNC001744)". The record is from RNAcentral. Lineage: Eukaryota; Viridiplantae; Streptophyta; Magnoliopsida; Brassicales; Brassicaceae.
GGUAUUCUUAACGUUAAGGCAGAGGACAAAGCGAGUGGUAAAUCAGAGAAGAUUACAAUCACAAACGAGAAGGGUCGUUUGAGCCAAGAAGAGAUUGACCGGAUGGUGAAGGAGGCUGAGGAGUUUGCAGAGGAGGACAAGAAGGUGAAGGAGAGAAUUGACGCCAGAAAUGCCUUGGAGACAUACGUGUACAACAUGAAGAACCAAGUGAAUGACAAGGACAAGCUUGCAGAUAAAUUGGAAGGUGAUGAGAAGGAGAAGAUCGAAGCAGCAACCAAGGAAGCCUUGGAGUGGCUCGAUGAGAACCAAAACUCAGAGAAAGAAGAGUACGAUGAGAAGCUCAAGGAGGUAGAAGCAGUGUGUAACCCAAUCAUCACUGCUGUUUACCAGAGAUCCGGAGGAGCACCAGGUGCCGGAGGAGAACCAACGGCAGAGGAUGAUGAUGAGUCUCACGAUGAGCUCUAGAUGUCUUCUUUUUAUCAUUGAUUUGUUAAAAAUACCCAUUAGAGACAAGUUUUGAGGGGGAAAGAAAAGAAGUCUGUUUUUGGUUUUGUGUUUUAGGAAAAGGGGAGAGAUUAAGUAGCGUCUCUUCUUUAGUCUCCCCAGACGUUCUCUUUAUGUUCAUCUGAUACUUUUACUUCUUCAUAACAAAUACUUCUUUUUUCUUUUCACAUCCAACAUCAGAUAUACACACUCUAGGUUAAGUGGUGUUAACAACACUUCUGUAAGAAUCAAGUCAGAAAAUACAUUUUCAAAAUGUAUUGAUGCCUUUUGGAAUUUGCAGAAGAGACUAGAAAGAGAGGCACGAAAUGAGACUAAAUAUGAUUUGUAAUGUAAGUCGCGUCGAGUGAAACUUACAUGAACAUCAACAUCUUUAAUCUUUAUACAUCGAACGAAUUACAUAGAAGAAUUAGCGGAAUAUCUCUGUUUAUUGCAGUGAUUAAGUGUUUCUAAACGAUUUUUUUUUAAUGAAAAAUGAAAGGUUAAACUUGAAGGUUUGGAGUCUCGAUUUCUAUAGUUUUGCCUACAAACUUUUUGUUCCAGUGUUGUAGACUUGUAGUUUAUUUGAAAUAGCUUUUACAAUGGACUAAAUACAUGUAUGUAUAGGUGAGACAACUAGACUCCAGUUUCAAAGUUUUUUUCAAAUUGAUCUCAAUUGUUCAUCCAAUAAGAUGGAAGCAUGUGUGACAAGUGGAAACAUAUUAUUUGACUAUAUGUUAUCAUCCUGAUACUUGUCACAUAUGCUUGUGUUUAUACAACAUUUAUCAUGAUUUUACGACAUUUGUCACUUCCUCAAUACUCGUUGUUAAAGUUAAUUGCUCAAUAAGGAUUUUUUUUAAUGGCAUUUUUUGGUAUUGUCAUUUUUGGUAAAAUUUUAUAGAUUUGCCAAUUUCAAAUUAGAAAAAUGUGAUUAAACAUUCGUUUUAUUCGUUAUGUUUGAGUUUAGUCGGUAUUAUGAGACAUUUGUUGGUAUUGUAUUCGUUGCAAUUCUUCCGCAUGUUGUUCGUUUUUGUGCGAUAACUUUUGCAUUUUUCUUAUUUGUAGACUAAUAAAAAAUUAAAUAUAUAUUACGGAAUAAAAAUAUAAAUAGAAAGUACAAAAAUGGAAUAUAUUAGCUUUGUAUACAUUUAAAUACAUAUAAAUUUAAAUUUUCAACUGUAAAUAUUUUAGCGUAUAUUGCUAUAAGGAUGUUAUAAAACAUAAGCAAAUAUAAUAAUAUUAUAUACUAGCUUAUGUAAUCAUAUACAUUACCUAAAUAAAGGUAGAAGAGAGACGAGAGGUGAAGGGUGAAAGUUAGAACAAUAAAACUCUACUUAUAAAUACUUCGCUCUCUCUUCUUACACUUCCUUCUUCUCAUGCAUCCCUCGUACCAUAAAGGGUUUUGAGAUAAGAUAAAACUACGAUAGCUUGAGGAUGAAGCUACUUAGAACUUAUGUAAAUAAUAUAACAUAACAAUGGAUAAUCAUCUGUAAAGAUAAGUAUUAAUGUGGAUAAGAAUGAGUGAUAGGAUAAUAACGUUUAUAAUUAUCCAUUUCUAACAUAUAUAUAUUUCUUGAUCAAUCGAUAAGUUCAUGAACCAACAUGAAAAAAUCCCAAGUGAUUUCAUGCGGCAAUGUGGCAUGAAACUAUUGUUUGCAUGUGCCGGUAGAAAAAGAAAACUAACCGUAGGUCCGUAACUAUAAUCUUAACUUACUGCCCAAGUUUUAUGAUGUGACAACUGACAAGAUUGUCUUAAGAACACACACGUGUCACUUGCGGUUCCUUGUAUAAAAACCCAUCACUGGUUCUCUUCACUCCUCAUUUGAUCGCAAUGGUGCCCCUCUCUCUACCAUAACCUUUCGCUUUGUUCUCUCUCUCUCUAGGCACUCUCUCGAUAUUGACUGUAAGUCCCAGAUCUCUAGUUCGUGUUCUUUGACUACUUGUAUGUUUUAUUCUCUUUGCUUCUUCUUGAUUUUAUACUAGAAGGAAUGUUUUCAGUCUUGUUUUUUUCUUUUCAAUCAGAAUUUAGGUGGGGUUAUUGGAUACUGUAUUUUAGUGGAUUUUAAUAUAUUUUAAAGAUACACCGUUAUUGAAUAAAGUAUUUGUUUCAUGUAUUUUAAAUGUAUUAAAAUCCUCUGUUAUUCAAUAUAGAUUUGAUUUUGGUACAUUUUAGUUAUAUUUUUAAGCGAGAUCAUGAGUCAAACAAAUCCAAACAUUUUCAUCAGUAUUUUGGAUUAUUUCACUAUUAUCCUACGGUAAUUAAAAACCUCCAUACAAUAACACCCCCUUAAUUUAGAUCCACAAUACUAGAUCCAUUGUUAGAAACGGUUUUUUUUUAAAAAAAAAUUGAGUUUUCAAAACGGUUUUUGAAGCAAAUCUCUUGGUUUAAUAUGUUCUAACUAGUAUUACACCCGUGCUAUGCACGGACAUAUACAAUAUUUGACUAAAAAUUGCAUGUAUAAAUUAUGUAAGGUUUUACAAAAAAAAACAAUUAUGUAAGGUUUAUCAGAAAAAUGAGUAUGCAUAAAAAAAACAAAAACACACUUGUCAUUGACAACCAGAAACGUACGAACACUAAGUUAGAUUAAAGUAGAAAAAUAUACACAUUGAUCUCAGCUUCUGAGAAGAAAUAUUAGUUAAAAGAUUUCAUGUUUUACUUCUUUAUGCAUUGCUCUUCCAGUAUUUCUCAAUCUGCUCAUUGAGUAGUUUAUAUAUGUCUUCACUGGUUUUUAACAUCAAGUAAUUCAUUCGUGAUCUCCAUCUGCAAACGAUUUUACAAAUCCAGUUAAAACAAUCAGAAGAUGAAAUCAGCAUGUAACACAUGCACAUCUCAAGGUAAAUCAAGUGACAUAAGAAUGAACAUCUUCAGCAUGACUCUGCCAUAAAGUGCAGUCGAUGAUAGUUUGGCUGCAAAAAAAAUGUUAAAUAAUUAAAUCUAAACAACAUAAUACAAACAUUAAAGUAUACAAAGAGAGACAUGAAGAAUUGUCUUACUCUCUUGCAAAUUCACUAGCCUGAGAUCUCUAAGUUGAAUAUCCAACAAUUUUGAACUUUGACCUGAACAAUCUUUCUCACUCAUACCAACAAUCUCACCAAUAAUAUCUGAAUUUUUAAAAAUAAAUUUUUGGAUUACUCAUAUAUUUAAUUAUGAAUCGUAAAGAUAUAUAAGAAUAAAAAUGCCAGAGUUAAGUGACAUGUAAAAUUGCAGUAAAGGAAACAUACCAUAAAAACGUCAUCCUUAGACAUGUAGUAUAGAUGAAAUUAAUCUUGUAAGGAUGUAUGGUUCCCUUGUAGUCACCAUGAUUAGCACAAACUUCGAAAUUCAUUAUAUCAAAGCAUCUUCCUUCCAACAAAUCUUUUUGGAAUUUUCGAGCCAAUUUUUGUUUCACUGAUGCUUGAAUUCGAUCUCCCUGUCCACAAGUUAUUUUAAAAUUUUCGUUAUAUUAAAAAAACUAUAAUGUUAAUUGAAGCUAUAAUGGGAAUUGAAGACUGUUUAUGUACCUUUGAAUCCACCAAAAUAACUUCUAUGCCCAGAAUCACUACAGCUUUAUCUCUUGGAUGAUAAUUCUAUGUACGGGAUAUUAAAGCUCUGAAAGAUGAGUAUAAUCUAGAGGCAUCUUCCAACUGAAAAAUUAAAGUUUUUAAUUAAUAUGAGUAGAAGAUGAAAUAUAUGAAGAUGAAGAAAACUAUAAACAUUUACCUGCACAAUCGUAGUGUAACUGCAAUGUAGAGAUGACUUAUGGAACAGAGGAUUAAAGAGAAGAUGUAUUUUAUAGGAGAAGAAAAAAAUAUGAAACAAAGACGAUAAGAGAGGAGAGGAUAAGAGAUAAAAGAAACUGAUUUGGGAUUUAAAUAGAAGAGGAAUCAGUUAUUUUUUUUCAUUGAUCGUGGAGGUGAUAGUGGCUUAAAAUUAGAGAUAAUUUUUUUCAGUUUCUGCUUUUACUUCUCUUGGAACGAUGAAGAAGAUGAAAAAAUAUAUAUAUUUAUUUUUAGGUUUUAGAUGUGGGCUAAAGCCCAAAACAAAUAUUCAUAGUCGCUGGCUUCUUUCUCUAUUGACGUGGCCUUUUAGUUAUUUUGUUUCCAGAUUCUAAGUUACUUUAAAAAUUUUUUUUUUUCCAGAUUCUAAUUAAUUUUAAUUUGUUCAAUUGUGGGUGAGAAGGUUUUUUUUGUUUAAACUAAAAAGAAAAAAGAAUCUGAUGUGUCAUAAUUAUAUUGGACAGGUGACUUGUGAUUUAUAGGAUAAAUGAUUAGUUAAUCAAGGCUUUGAUUCGGCCGUGAGUGAGUGGGCAAGAUCCACUAUAUACGAACGGCCAGAAAAUAAUAAUAUCCGAUUUAGGUAAAGGCUUGAGGUUUCGAUCUGUUUUGGAAAAACAAUCAAGAAAAUCAAGGUUCAACCUAGUGUUGUUUACUAAUGAUAGAACUCUCAUAACACAUAAGAUUUCAUUAGUGUUUUUAUACUAGUGUUUAUAAUUAUGGUAGAACUCAAUAACUCAUAACAUAUAAUGUUAGUAAAAUGUAUUUUAAAUCUGAUCACAUGAUUUGCUUUUAUUCACAAAUCCACUAAAAUAUGUGAACCAAUAAUUUUUUCCUAAUCUUUGAUCGUUUGGAUAUAAAAAAAAGUUUGUUGAAAGGAUGUCAAAUUCAGAAUCUUUGUGGUAGAUAAUAAAUUGCUUACCCUCACUUUAUUUUUAAUUUUAAUUUUAAUUUUUAAAAAUCUGUUUUUUUCAGGUCUUAAGGAACCAAGAAUGGAUUCGGACCUCGAUGAGCAUGAUGAACCAAUGGUAAGAAUCGCUAUCCUCCCGGUGUUUACUUGUACUAUUUCGUUUGAAGCAUAUGAAGAGUUUUUCCACUUGUUUUCAAAAAUUUGUGAGUUAUAUAGUAAUAGGAUGUUGCUAAACACUGUCUUGAUAUGAGCUAGUAAGGGUUUUGGUUGAGAAUAUAUAAAAGCUAAUGCUCUUAGUUUUUGAAUUGCAGUAUCCAAGGCGUUUAGCUCCAAAUUAUCUUAAAUUCAUGAGAUAUAUGAGGACGACUCUUGAUACUCCAUUAUUCUCAGGAGGAGCAAACCCAUUCGAUGCUAAUGGAUGGAUCAAGCGGUUGGAAAGGAACUUCAUUACUUGUAAGUGUCCCCUAGAGUUUAAGAUGGAUAUUGCUGUGGGUUUCUUGGCUGGGGAUGCUUUGUUCUGGUGGCAAGAAGUUAACCGUGGGAGCAAUGUGAAGACAUGGACAGAGUUUGAAAUUGAAUUCAGGAAGCGGAAUCUUCCACCGGAGGCUAGGGAUUCCAUUGAGCUGCAGUUCUUUGAGCUAGUACAAAGGAGUAAGUCCGUUAGGGAGUAUGAGUCUGAGUUUUGGAGGCUUUUCUAUUUCCUUCUCGAAGAUUAUGACAAGGAGCAAGCUGAUAUUCGUAGGUUCAUAAGGGGACUGAGACCCGAGAUCCGAACAUAUCUAACCGGUAUAAAGUUUAAUCGGCUAGCAGAUGUUGUCCAAAAAGCUACUAUAAUAGAAGCAAACAUUCUAGAGGAGCAGGUUGCAACCUUCGCUUUGGGGAGUAAGGCAUUACAUCCAUCAUGCACUGACCAUGCAGGCAACUCUAGAAAGAACAAAUCCGGAAAGAAAAAGAAGUGUACAGCCUGCGGGGGACACCAUUUUGGACCAUGCUCAUCCGCUAAAGUUUGCUACAACUGUGGUAAUCUUGGUCAUAUUGCGCGAAACUGUAAGAAUGAUGAUGGAAAAGGAUCAGCUACAAUGCCUCCCACAAAGCGUCAAGCCCGCAAUGCAAUGGAUGCUUCUACUUCUUCUUAAUUCCGGUAACAAGAACCCGAUGCACGGGUAAUCUAGUGUAAAAUUCAAGCCUAAUAUAUAUAUUUUUGUUUGUACAGCGGCUAAUACUAUCGGCACUAUGACUAUAACUACCCUAUGCUACCUGCUUUUUGGCUUGUUUAUAGACUCCGUUCACUACCUUGUUUAUAGCCUGAACACUAAUGUAUAAACUUCCUCCCAAUCAUUAAAGUGCCUAUCUAUAUUUAUUUGUCUUGAGGAAUCUUGGUUGUAUGAAUAUUUCUCGCUUUUGUUCAAUUCAACUGUGGUGCUAUGCAUAGCUUCCCUAAUACGUAAGAUUGCAUCAAAGUCUCGAGGAGCAACCAUAUUUAGUGGUCAACUGAUCAUGUUUCUCGAACUACCAUUUGUCUUUUUGAUAAUUUUCUGGAAGUGGAAUGUGGUAGCAUGUUAGGUUGCAUCUCCGAUGAAGUCACAUAUCUUAGGAGUCAAACAACAUGAGAACGCCAAUAAUAGAAAACGCUUACUUGGCCUAAUAAAAUAAAAAGCUUACUGGGCCAAAUAAUAGAAAACGCUUACUGGGCCUAAUAAAAUAAAAAGCUUACUGGGCCAAAUAAUAGAAAACGCUUACUGGGCCUAAUAAUAUAAAAAAGCUUACUGGGCCCAAUAAAUUAAAAAAGGAAGAAGCGCAUUGUCUAGAAUUAAGAAGAAGAAACGAAGUAACAACCAACGGUGACGAUUACACCAACAAAAUAUAAAAUCUGAUUGGUUAAUAUUAUAGAUCGUCGAAAGAUGAUUGGUCCACGUAGUCUACGGUGACAUAGUUAUGUUUCUUCGUCUACCAUAAAAGGAGACUACUUCACCAUCACCUUCGGGCACUACUUGGACCUAUUUAAGCAAACUUCUUCGACAAAGCUUAAAACCAUUAAUUAAUAAAUAAAAAAAGGAAGCUCUGUUGAAAACUAAGUUUAUUCGAUCGAAACAAAGAGGGCGAGAGAGAGAAAUCGAACGCAAUAGUUUCCGAUAUGGCACGCUCGUUCGGAGCAAACGGCACUGUUGUGCUGGCGAUCAUCUUCUUCGGUUAGAGCUCUCUCAUCUUUCUCAAUGUCUUCUUCUUCUUCGAUUUGGAUAUUUUUAGUAAAUUGUGUAGAUCGUAAAAAACUCGUCCGCAUUGUUCCUUGAUCGUAUUAGUAUCGGUUUUCCUGGAUAAUUUGAUUUGUGUUUGUGUUACAUUGUUGAAUUGCAAUUUUACGAUCUUAAGGUUAGAUCUCGUUUACGUAGAUAGUGGAAGAUGUUUGUUGUAGAGAUUAAUUUCAUGGAUAAUGUGGUGACGAGAUUAGGUUGUGGUUUGUGAAAUUGGGAUUGGUAGACAACUAGAGAUUACAGUUUUGAUUUUGAUUUUGAAAUUGUGUAUUGAGCGAUUGGACUUUCUUUUUUUACGUUUCAGGAUGUUUAUUUGCGUUUUCCACUGCCAAAGAAGAGGCCACGAAGCUGGGAUCAGUUAUAGGGAUUGAUCUUGGUACAACUUACUCUUGUGUUGGUGUUUACAAGAAUGGUCACGUUGAAAUUAUUGCCAACGACCAAGGAAACCGUAUUACUCCUUCCUGGGUUGGUUUUACUGACUCUGAGAGGCUCAUUGGUGAGGCUGCUAAGAAUCAGGCGGCUGUUAACCCUGAGAGGACUAUCUUCGACGUCAAGAGAUUGAUUGGGCGAAAGUAAAAUACUUGUCCUCUUUCUCUUGCGUGGUUUCUGUUUGUUUCACCUUGCAGGGAUGUUGAUUUUUUUCUUUCUUUUUGUAUCUGGCAGAUUCGAGGACAAGGAGGUCCAAAAGGACAGGAAACUUGUACCUUACCAGAUUGUGAACAAGGAUGGUAAGCCAUACAUUCAAGUCAAGAUCAAGGAUGGUGAGACUAAGGUUUUCAGUCCUGAGGAGAUCAGUGCUAUGAUUCUGACUAAGAUGAAGGAGACAGCCGAAGCUUACCUUGGAAAGAAAAUCAAGGACGCUGUUGUCACCGUUCCAGGUUAGCCUUGUUGUUAAUUCGGCUUCAUUAUAUGUGGUGGUGACAUAUAUUUUUCUGGAUUGGUGAUUGAUUGUUUAUUUGGUGUUGGCUGUGCGCAGCUUAUUUCAACGAUGCCCAAAGGCAGGCUACGAAGGAUGCUGGUGUUAUUGCUGGGCUUAAUGUUGCUAGAAUCAUCAACGAACCUACUGCUGCUGCUAUUGCCUAUGGUCUGGAUAAAAAGGGUGGUGAGAAGAACAUCCUUGUCUUUGAUCUUGGUGGUGGUACCUUUGAUGUCAGUGUAUUGACCAUUGAUAACGGAGUGUUUGAGGUUCUCUCAACAAAUGGUGACACUCACUUGGGAGGUAAUAUACUUGUACCCACGAAUGAAUCGUUUUCAAUCACUUUUUGUUCAAUAACAGAGGAGUGUUUGCUUUAGUGUUAUGUUGGUGCUAACCUUUUGUUGUUAUGAUCUGCGCAGGUGAGGACUUUGACCACAGGAUCAUGGAGUACUUCAUCAAGUUGAUCAAGAAGAAGCACCAGAAGGACAUCAGCAAGGACAACAAGGCUCUUGGUAAGCUCCGAAGGGAAUGUGAAAGGGCAAAGAGAGCUCUUAGUAGCCAGCAUCAAGUCCGUGUAGAGAUUGAGUCACUCUUUGAUGGUGUUGAUUUCUCUGAGCCACUCACCAGAGCUCGUUUCGAGGAGCUGAACAAUGACUUGUUCAGGAAGACCAUGGGACCUGUGAAGAAGGCCAUGGACGAUGCUGGUCUACAGAAGAGCCAGAUCGAUGAGAUUGUCCUUGUUGGUGGAAGCACCAGGAUCCCAAAGGUUCAGCAACUAUUGAAGGACUUCUUUGAAGGUAAAGAGCCAAACAAGGGUGUGAACCCCGACGAGGCUGUUGCUUAUGGUGCUGCUGUUCAGGGUGGUAUUUUGAGCGGAGAAGGCGGUGAUGAGACCAAAGAUAUUCUUCUUCUUGAUGUGGCACCACUCACUUUGGGUAUUGAGACUGUAGGAGGAGUGAUGACAAAGCUGAUCCCAAGAAACACGGUUAUUCCAACCAAGAAAUCUCAGGUUUUCACAACGUACCAAGACCAGCAGACAACUGUCUCAAUCCAGGUCUUUGAAGGUGAAAGGAGUCUCACCAAGGACUGCAGGUUGCUCGGAAAAUUCGACCUCAACGGNNNNNNNNNNNNNNNNNNNNNNNNNNNNNNNNNNNNNNNNNNNNNNNNNNNNNNNNNNNNNNNNNNNNNNNNNNNNNNNNNNNNNNNNNNNNNNNNNNNNCUUCUUUUAACCUUUUGUAACUGUAUUCUUAGUUGAACUUCAAAGUAAUCAUCAUUCUCCUUUUGACAGAGGAACCCCUCAAAUCGAGGUCACAUUCGAAGUGGACGCCAACGGUAUUCUUAACGUUAAGGCAGAGGACAAAGCGAGUGGUAAAUCAGAGAAGAUUACAAUCACAAACGAGAAGGGUCGUUUGAGCCAAGAAGAGAUUGACCGGAUGGUGAAGGAGGCUGAGGAGUUUGCAGAGGAGGACAAGAAGGUGAAGGAGAGAAUUGACGCCAGAAAUGCCUUGGAGACAUACGUGUACAACAUGAAGAACCAAGUGAAUGACAAGGACAAGCUUGCAGAUAAAUUGGAAGGUGAUGAGAAGGAGAAGAUCGAAGCAGCAACCAAGGAAGCCUUGGAGUGGCUCGACGAGAACCAAAACUCAGAGAAAGAAGAGUACGAUGAGAAGCUCAAGGAGGUAGAAGCAGUGUGUAACCCAAUCAUCACAGCAGUUUACCAGAGAUCAGGCGGAG